ACGGAGAGCAGGCAGAGCAGCAGGGAAAUGUGGGCUGCGAGGAGGCAGAAGAGGAGCCGGAGAGAGGAGAGGCAGCAGCCUCCAGGCUGGACACCCAACAAGCACCGGCAGGAACCGAGAACGUGUCUCUGGCUACCCCUCACACUGGACACUCACCUUGCCGUCCACGAGGAUGUCAAAGCGAAUCCCAAACACCUUGAAGAGCCCGUGGAACUCAUAGACGGGUUUGCAGUGUCGCACAUGCCAGUCCAGGUCGCAGUGCCAGUCGAUGGUGAUGCCUACCACCCCGCCCUACCAGGGACACAGGCCCUCAAGAUCCGGGGUUUAAGAUCAAGAACUCCUGCCUUACAGCUGGUGCAGCUGUUUUCUGUUUGUUUGAGAAGAGACACUGAGAAGCUGAUUCAGGGUUGAGGUCCUGUCACCCUCUCUGGUCCUGCCUCCCACCCAUCACAUUCCAGCUUUCUGACAGUUUCUAGAAUACACCAGGUUCUUCCUACCCCAGGGCCUUUGCACAUGCAGUCACUCUCCCCCCACCCGCCACCAUUCCCCACAAGGCUGGUUCUUUCUCAUCCUUUGGUCACUUCUCCUGGGAAGCCUUCCCUGACCACCACCCCCAGUCUAAAAUAUGCCCUUGUGAUUCCCUCUGUGUUUUCUUCUAGAACAUGUGUCACUUUGUAACCACACAUUUAUUUUGUGUGACUAUUAAUGCAUCUCUUCCAAGACUGUAAACUUCACAAGGGUGGAGCUGUCUGUCUCAUUUGCACUGAUUCCUGAGUCACAGCGCAGGAGGCAAGUAAAUAGCUGUUGAAUUAAAGAGGGAGUCUGUAAAGACAUGGGCUGGGAAGAGAAAACCUGAGAAAGUGAAGCUCCUCUGGGCGAGGCAAGGAUCAGGGACAGGUGGGCUGAGCAAGAGGAGAGUUGGGUGUGGAGCUGGGCAGCUAGGCGGGAGGCUGGAUGCCUACAGACAAUGGUGAUGGGUGAGAAGUUCCUACUGGGGGUGGCAGGGAGAUUUUUAGGAACAGGGGAAACUAACAUUCAGCUUUCUGGUCCUGUGUGUUGCUACCAUGUAAGCCCCCUCCAGGGGUUGGCAAACUGAGGCCUCAGGGUCGAAUCUGUUUUCACAUUGCCUGUGGAUGGCUGCCUUGGCCCUAUAGCAGCUGACCUGGGUAGCUGGAACAGAGACCAUGUGACCUGUGGCCCACACUUAUUCUCUGGCCCUUUAAAGAAAAAGUUUGCUGACCCGUGUUCUCCACAAAGGCACUGUGGGUGAGUUGUUUUGGUGUGUGAUGUCACAGAGUGGGGCUGAUUUCCAUCCCUGGACCCCACAGGAGCGGAUGAUAAGGAUUGAGAGGGAGCAUGUACCGAGGAUGCCUUGGGCCAGGCCACCCUGAAGUGCUGUCCCGUGCCCUCAAGACAGUCCCGAGAGAUUUCUACUAUUAUCGCUCCCACUUUACAGGUGCAAAAGCGCAGACUCACUGAAGAUGCGUCUCUGAGCCACUCUCCGUUCCUAAAGCUGCGUCUUGGACUGGAGGCUGGAAAUCCUCACCUGCUCCCCCUGCUGGCCUGUGCCUGGAGUUCCACCAUUCUUUUCACUAUGAAAAUACUAUUAUUAGUUGGCCAGGGAGCAGAGCCCCUGGAGGUCUCUUUCAGAGCCUUUCCAAGAGUAGCAUUUGUUGGAGGUCAAGCUGCUUGGACUCCAAUCUUCAUCCCUAUCUCCUUCCUUCCUGAGUUCUUCCCGCUGAGAAAGAGCAGAGUGUGAUGAUGGCCGAGAGCCUGGCCUUUGGUGCCCAAGAGUCUGGGCUUGAAUCUCACAGGCUGUAUGAUCUGGGGUAAACUAGUCUCUGUUUAGGGCAAAUCCCUCUCUGUUUCAGUUUCCUUGUAAAAUGUAAACAAUAAUAGUACCAAUACUACUUAUGUUGUGAGCUAAUGCCCGUGAAAGCACUUGGAAUGGAAACUGGCAUUGUGUAGACUAAGCACUGUGUAGACAUUAGCUACUAUUAUCUCAGCCAUGCUGGGAGCUCUUGGGGAGGGGGACUGACUGGAAGGGAAACCAGAGGGGCAAGUGGCCCUUUGAAGGGCUCACAGCAUCUGGCCCCAGAUGAGGCCCUUGUGGGUGUGGGUCAGGCUGGAGGUCUCCCAGCUUUCUCAGGAAAUUCUGGCCUUCCCCUCCCAGCAGCAAGAACCCCUGUUCCUCUGGGUUCUCCACUUUCAAUCUGGGAGGUUUAGUGGGGUCAACCUCCCUCCUAGCCCCACAGUGGGGGGGCACAUGACCAGGGUUUGCCAAUCAACGUUCCACUGCCCCAGCGACAGCAGUGGGUCUAAGGAUGGGCACACAGCCCUGAGGAGUUUCAGCAACACGGCCAGAAUUUUUCUGGGAAUUACUGGGAAAGAGAUCCUCUCGGUUGGGUGGCUAAGCAAGGUAUGGUUAGUCAUCUGUGUUACCUCACGGAGAGAGCAAGCCUGAGAAUGAAGCCAACUUAGAGAAAAGCCAGGCCAGUAGACGGAGAGGGGCAGACUCCUGACAAUGUUGCUUGAGCACCUGGAUCCUGCCAUACCUGAAGCAUGUUGAAAAGUCACUUCUGGACUUUUCAGUCAUACAAGUUAAUAAAUUUUUUCCUUUAUUUAAGCCAAUUUGGGU
Physeter macrocephalus (sperm whale) is the source of this 2638-nucleotide long non-coding RNA. RefSeq lists it as uncharacterized. NCBI's taxonomy places the organism in Eukaryota, Metazoa, Chordata, Mammalia, Artiodactyla, Physeteridae. The record is from RefSeq and is a predicted model, not a curated record. The transcript has 4 exons.